RNAcentral lists this transfer RNA (86 nucleotides) under Clostridioides difficile. RNAcentral's name for it is "tRNA-Leu". It matches the Rfam family "tRNA". Rfam says of the family: Transfer RNA (tRNA) molecules are approximately 80 nucleotides in length. Their secondary structure includes four short double-helical elements and three loops (D, anti-codon, and T loops). Lineage: Bacteria; Bacillati; Bacillota; Clostridia; Peptostreptococcales; Peptostreptococcaceae. The record is from RNAcentral.
GCCCGAGUGGUGGAAUUGGUAGACGCAGUGGACUCAAAAUCCACCGGACUAAUACUCCGUGCCGGUUCGAGUCGCCUCGGGCACCA